This is a long non-coding RNA of Gopherus agassizii (Agassiz's desert tortoise), 2035 nucleotides long. NCBI's taxonomy places the organism in Eukaryota, Metazoa, Chordata, Testudines, Testudinidae. The record is from Ensembl.
AUUGUGACACGGCCCCUCCCCCUUAGACAAGCCCACACCUCUCAGCGCCAGAAAGCUCCACCCCUCUCCCAGCUCCACUCCCUCUCCCACCCAGACCCCCUCCAUAGGCCACUGUGCCCCUUAGUGCCAGAAAGCCCUACCCCAUAGAUAGCUCUGCUCCUCAGCACUAGGCAGUUCCAGCCCCCCCAACUCCAGUCCCCUCCACCCCACACACCCCCUAGCACUGGACCACCCCAGUCUCUUCACUCCCACUGCCCUGGGCAGCUCCAGCUCCUCCCACGCUCCAGACCCCCGCACCCUAACUUACAUUGCACCAGGCCCCUUCCACUUCCUAGGCCUGCCCAGUACCUGCUUUUGCCCUCUCGGGACCCCUAGCCUCUUAGCCUCAGCUUCACCCCCCCUCCACCAUUUCCUUGCUGUAAGGUGCUAGGCACCUUAUGGCCCUGGGUAUUACCUUCUGCCCACUUCAGUUGCCCACCUACAACCCCAGCUCCUUGCCCUUCUGCACUUCUAGGCAGCUACCAGAGACUUCCUGGGAGGAAGCGGAGGCCAGGCCUGCCACAUGGCUGGUGCUACCAAGUCCUCGUGCAGUCAGGAAGAGGAGGGACGUAAGAAGCAGCAAAGCCAUCAAGGGAAAGGAGCAGGAGUUCCACAGCAGGAUGGUUCCUGGAUGAAUAUUGCUUACACCCACUCACAAGUGUCCAGAGCCUCUGCUGAGCGGGAGAACCAUCUUCAGGCACCAAGGAAAAAGGUGGAAAGCAGGAGAGUGGACCAGAAGAACCCUCCGUUUGAGGACUUUAAGGGAAUUCCGAUAGAUCAAGACCCCAAAGAUGCUAAAUCUCAUCAACGUUCCGUGAAGAAUCAGAGAGCCUUUGUUUACCAGCCCAGCUCAACAGAACAUGCUCAAGGAGAUCCACCGCCAUUGGCCAAGCUGACCGUAGCACCAGCUGAAAAAAGAGAGCAGUGCGACAGCUCAGAGGCUCCGUCUGAGAUCAAAAGUCCGAGGCGGAUGCAGCCCCUUGCCAAGAGCACACAAACUGAAGAAUGCUCUCCAAAGCAGACCCAGCCGCCCUGCUUCCCAGAUGGCAGAGGGAACAGGAGCAGCUCUGGGCUUGAGAAGAGGAACUGUCCCCCUCCACUGGGAGGAGCAGGAAGGAAGUGGGCUGAGGGCUCUGAAGUGGAGCGUGAAGAGGAACUGAAAGAGCAAACGGGCCUUUCCUCUUCGACCUGAAUCCAGCUUUCACCCACUGCUUAUCCACUCCAGCUGUGUUCAUCCUGAUCCUGGAACGUCUGUGGGGUCUGGCUGAGGUUAGCAUAAGGUAUGUGACACGGAGCACCACCUUGUGGCUGAACAGUAUAACACACUUUAGCAUCCUACUACAUCUGCCCCUCUACAUUCUGCAUUCCUACCACAUACGAUAUUUUCACUGUGGGCUUGUCUACAUCAGAAAGUUGCAGCGCUGGUGAGCGAGUUACAGCGCUGCAACUUUGAAGGUGUACACAUCUGCAGGGCAUCACCAGCGCUGCAACUCCCUGUUUGCAGCGCUGGCCGUACUCCCGUUUUGUCUUGNCUCUGAAUCCUGCUGGUUUUCUAAUUUCACGACCUGAAUGCGUAACAACUUGAUCAUCCAGCCGUCUGCUAGUGGCAAUGACUGGCUGGGGUCGGUUCGGAAUCCUGGAAUCUUCAUCAUCUGUAGCGUUUGGCCUGUUGAUUGUUCUGAGUAACAAGCUGCAGAUGCCAACGGUGUCUGUUUAACUCUUCACUGGCCGUCUCAGUCACGUUAUCUGGGCACGAAAUUCUUUUUAUUUUAUGGCAGCUCCAGUUGUCCAUCGCUUUUCUCCCGCCAGCUUGACACAAACACGGUCACCGGGUUUGAGGCCCAGCGGUUCUCGGAGUGACAUCUGGUGUAAGAGCGUUUGUAAGCUCCCGUGGGACUGCUCUCUUCACGGCCGGAGAUAGGUUCUUUGCCACAGCUGGAACAGUAGUUCUGGUUUGUCUUCCCGUCGGUGUGACCUGCACAAAAUUCUCUGUUAC